GCAAGUCGAACGCAGGGCUUCGGCCUUGAGUGGCGAACGGGUGAGUAACACGUGGGCGACCUACCUCCAAGUACGGUAUAACUUCGGGAAACCGGAGCUAAUCCCGAAUGUUCUUAUGUCUCAUGUGACAUACGUAAAGAUUUAUCGCUUCGAGAUGAGCCCGCGGCGCAUCAGCUAGUAGGUAGGGUAACGGCCUACCAAGGCGACGACGCGUAGCCGACCUAAGAGGGUGACC
RNAcentral lists this ribosomal RNA (235 nucleotides) under uncultured bacterium. Its description in RNAcentral is "partial 16S ribosomal RNA". It matches the Rfam family "Bacterial small subunit ribosomal RNA", at positions 57 to 305 of the family's 1533-position model. The record is from RNAcentral.